This 645-nucleotide ribosomal RNA is filed under the name uncultured bacterium. RNAcentral's name for it is "bacterial SSU rRNA". It matches the Rfam family "Bacterial small subunit ribosomal RNA", at positions 78 to 719 of the family's 1533-position model. The record is from RNAcentral.
UGCUGAUUUGCUGACGAGUGGCGGACGGGUGAGUAAUGUCUGGGAAACUGCCUGAUGGAGGGGGAUAACUACUGGAAACGGUAGCUAAUACCGCAUAACGUCGCAAGACCAAAGAGGGGGACCUUCGGGCCUCUUGCCAUCGGAUGUGCCCAGAUGGGAUUAGCUAGUAGGUGGGGUAACGGCUCACCUAGGCGACGAUCCCUAGCUGGUCUGAGAGGAUGACCAGCCACACUGGAACUGAGACACGGUCCAGACUCCUACGGGAGGCAGCAGUGGGGAAUAUUGCACAAUGGGCGCAAGCCUGAUGCAGCCAUGCCGCGUGUAUGAAGAAGGCCUUCGGGUUGUAAAGUACUUUCAGCGGGGAGGAAGGGAGUAAAGUUAAUACCUUUGCUCAUUGACGUUACCCGCAGAAGAAGCACCGGCUAACUCCGUGCCAGCAGCCGCGGUAAUACGGAGGGUGCAAGCGUUAAUCGGAAUUACUGGGCGUAAAGCGCACGCAGGCGGUUUGUUAAGUCAGAUGUGAAAUCCCCGGGCUCAACCUGGGAACUGCAUCUGAUACUGGCAAGCUUGAGUCUCGUAGAGGGGGGUAGAAUUCCAGGUGUAGCGGUGAAAUGCGUAGAGAUCUGGAGGAAUACCGGUGGCGAA